This is a long non-coding RNA of Talpa occidentalis (Iberian mole), 5382 nucleotides long. RefSeq lists it as uncharacterized. The transcript is spliced from 3 exons. The record is from RefSeq and is a predicted model, not a curated record. Lineage: Eukaryota; Metazoa; Chordata; Mammalia; Eulipotyphla; Talpidae.
GAUGCCGCGGGCGGGAGCACCAACCCGGGACCUGCCCCAGGCCGGGAAGGCCACGCGGGGGUAAUAAGUCUGGGUUUGAGGGUUAGCAGCGGGGAAGGGAAGGUGAAUGGCAGGGGGACCCUGAGUCUAACAGUGUGAGGCAGUGUCUUGUAUUAACCAGGGCUCGCACCUUACAAUGAAAUUAAAGCAUCUCUGCUCUGAAGGGGAUCUUCUGGGGGCCCGCGAAGGGACCAGGCGUGCGAGGCGGUGGAGAAGGAGAUGCUUUGGCUCUUGGCUGCCGGCGUCAAGGGGAAGCUGUUUUAAGGCCCUUUUGCUUUCAUUCUGAACUGGAGAGAGGGGCUUUUAAUUCAAGUUGGAGAAGGUGAGGGUCUGGUGCGCUGGAUGAAGUAGGACAGCAUUUGGGAGACGGGAAUGUGGAUACUGAUUGAAGAGAGACAGCUCAUCUCACAGACCUUUGAUAAACUGGCCCCCUGAGAAGGGGAAAAUCAUGGCCCCAGCACUGAUAGGAGGGUUCCGUGUGAGCUGGUGGGGCCUUCCCGAGCUUGGAGAAAGAGGACUCCUGCUUGGCUCAGAUGCUGCCCCGCUUCCUUUCCUUCCUCUUCCCAUUCUCAGACCCUGCUGCGGACUUUGCCCAGCCUGCGCCUGGGGUCAGUGGCAGCCCAAGGCAGACUGGCUUCUACACCCAGCUUGCUGCCACCGCUCCUGCCUGGAGGGCAGCUUUGUCUUAAGGGAGUGGCCACCAGAGUAACUUAUGGUGCCUGGUAAAGAUAGCAGUAAAACCAUUUAUAAGUUAGAAAAUCUUCCCUUGCUGCCAGACGAGCAGUGGAAAGUAGGCAGUAGAAGUCAAAACAAGCAGUGGCAAUGAGACCUGACUUUUAGUCCCAGAUCUGCUACUAGUCUUCGUGAAUUUCACAAAGCACUUGCCUUCUCUAUGACUCAGACUCUUCGCCUGAACCACGGAUCCAUCUUUAAGGCCCCACCCAACUCAACAGUAGAAAAAUAUGUAACUUUAUUCUUCCUUAAUUCUUUUCCUUAAUUGCUUUUCUUGACCUGAAAAAGUCAACUCAAACUGUUAUAGGGCAGCCCCAAUACAAAACAGGGUGCCUGACUGUGGGUCCUCACCCGCGCGCUUAAAAAGGACUUAUCAAUGCUCUACUGCAGGCACACGCGAAAGGUUAAUAAAAGGUUUAUUUACAAGGGAAGGGGAAAUGAGGAAAUGUACAGCUCUGGGAGAAGAGUGGGAGACAAAGUUUUAAAUGUGUCCUACCUGAUCCACCGAUCUGGAAUCCCAAAUGGCACCCUGAGAGCUGGCCGCAAGCCAGGAGCCGUGAAGCCAGGAGGCGAGGAGAGAGCAACCCCACCAAGGCCCAUGUGUUUGGUUUUUAUACCAACCCUGGCUGCUUAACUCCACCCUCAGGUCCCAGCCACCUUCCCUUUGGUGGUGACGGGAUUUGUCUUUCCCAAUGUCCUGAUGGCUUUAGUCUGGAGUGGGGGUGGAGUCCACAAAGCCUGUAUGGGAUUAGCACAGGACAUCCUUUCCCCCUAACAAAACUUCACAAUCAAAAUCUUGGUACAGAUCUCUUCUCCUGGCUACUAAGACACCUACCUACUUCUUGAUCAGAAUCCUUUAAAUGAAACAUAUUUUAAACUAUCUCAUAUUCUUGCUGCUUCCCUCCUUCCUUGACACAUGGCCCUGCUAACCAAUGACCCCCUCAAUGCUUUCUGUUGUUCAAUAAACUAAAAGAGCUCACUUCUGAUUAAAUGGAAGUGGGGUCCACAGAUUCUGGCCUCAAAGAGACCUGAGUUUUCUUCCCAAGGUCACAGUUGCUCUGUUUCAUCUAUGCAAUAUCUGUGCACACAGUAAGCAUUUGGAGAGGUGGUCAUUUACUUUUGGGGCUGCUUCACCAGUGAUUGUAAGUUCGUCUCCCUGAGCCCUCCCCUGAAAGGGAACACUUGUGCCUCUAGGACCCUCAUCCCACCUCUAUAAGUGGAAAGGGUUCCACUUAAGAAGGCCGGGUCUUAGGGAUGCAAUCUUUCCAGUAUUGUCUUAAGCCUGGGCUCUGGCAUUCCCUUGCAGCAGCAAGAGACAGUAGAGAAAAUGGGUAGAUGGAGAGAAACUUGUACUGGGAGUCAUCUCUGGCCCAAAUUACUGUAUGACAUUGGGCAGGUCAACUUUCCUCUCUGGGAAUGCUUCCUCAUCUGUAACAUGAAGGGAUCGAGGCUCUUUCUGUGCUGACAGUGCAUCCUCUGUGUCUCUGCAGACAACCAUCAUGGCAGUAGAGUUUGACAGGGUUGUUGUGAUAGGUUCCAAUUCCCAGAUGUUUUCAGGCCAGGCAGUGACAAACCAAGUGUUUGACAAGCUGUCCCCCCGCACCAGUGCAUCUACUGCGCCCUGUUGGGUUCAGCUACUGAUGCCCAGGCCGUGGCGGAUGUGGCUGCCUACCAGCUGGAACUCCUUGGAAUGGAAACGGAAGAACUUCCACUUGUUUUGGCUGCUGCAAACGUGGUGAACAUUCCCUAAAAGUAUCGGGAGGACCCGCCUGCGCAUCUCUUGGUAGCUGGCUGGGACCAACGGGGCCAUGUGAGUCUCUCCCCAUACAUGCCCUCCCUCCUUUGGGGUUCCCCCUCCCCUACAGAAGGGAGUGAAGGUCACAUGUGCCACGGACCAGCACAGCAGUAGACGAUGAGGCCGUCUCAGGGUUGAGAGACUGCGCAGGGUGGUCAGGGAUUCGGUUAAAGAAAUGACAAACAGACACACUUCAAGAGAGAGUGUAAAUCUGAGUGUAAUUUUCUCUGGGUUUGUGGCCAGUAUUUGUAUGUUCUCUAAAAGCAUAGGAACAGUGAAUAUACUUUUCACAAAGUAAUAUUUUUAUUAUUAAAAGCUAACAAAGCCAAGGACAACAGAGAAAUCAUUAAACUAACAAUUCUAUUGUUACACAGAGUUUAGUGAUGUUUCAUUUGUAUUAGCCUUUAUAUUUUUAUUUUUUAAUUAGCAAUUAAUGACCAGAAAAGGGGAAGAUUUUAGAAAGACAGUUGAAGCAGAAUAAAGUUUGUGGGCCUUGAGAAAGCGAGAUAAGGUUCCAGGUGGUCAACAUUUCUUUUAAUCAUCUCUGUGGCAGCUUCUGGUGGUCGUUAUCUCUUGGCAGGCUUUCGGCUUUUUUGCAACUUAGGGAGUUUGCUGUUCUCCCCCUGCGCGCAUGGUUCCUUGCCCACGCCGGGACCUCAGGGACCAUGGCAACAGCCAUUAGCCCUGAGGGUCACUGCAGGGGGUGGUGCAGCAACAUGUCAUUCCUGCAAUGAAUUUCAAAGACUGCCUCUUGAAAGCAUAGUACGUGGGGUAUGGGGUACUGGGCUUCACUGCAGAAAGUGGAGACCACCUGCUUGUCUCAGUGGGAAGGAAGAUUUUUUUCUUCUUCAGUAUUAUAAUCUAUAACUAUUAAGUGGAAUUUUCAAUAUUCACCUUUAUAUUUGCUCAAGACUCGGUAGUGGUGCUCCACUGUCUUUAAUAGUAAACUAAAGCUAUUACUUUCUUACUUUCUUGAUCUACCAAAUUUCUAUAAAUAAUCUUUUAACCCUAUAUCCUCUUACUUUCAACAUGUAACCUUUAUUCUACUUAGGCAAAAUAUGAUUAUUUUCUCUUUAGUGUGACAUAGUCACUCAAUAGCAGUACCUAAUUUAUAUUAUUUCCUUUUACCUCUACAAAUCACUUCCUCUACCACUUUUCUAAAUAUUAUUUGCCCUUAAAGCGCUAAGUCUGUCUCAUGGCUAUGUAAAUACAAAUAAGUUUCUCUGAACUCUUCUGAUUGUCACUCUGUUUUUAGCACUUCAUCAUUUUCUACUUUUGUCACAUGCUUUGUCUACUUGGCCUCUGCAGGUCAAGGAGAUUUUUUCUUUUAAUAUGAAAGACUUUUCCUCUCACCAAACCACCUGUGCCCAUACCUCAUCUGCUCCAUCCCCAAUCUUCCACCGUCUCCUCUAUUCCCUCUGAUAACAAUUAUCUUCUUUUCCUGAGUUCAAGUUUUACUUCUAUUAUCUGCUGCUGUAAAGUCUGACCUGUGAUGCCUCCCCGGGUGUACGGAACCCUGGAUGGAAUGCUGACGCGACAGCCCUUUGCCAUUGGUGGCUCUGGCAGCAUCUACAUCUAUGGUUAUGUGGAUCGUAUAAACCAGGCAUGUCCCCUGAGGAAUGCAGACGCUUCACCACAAAUGGUAACAAGACAGGUGGAAUCGUACCUGGGGACGGUUUUUAACAUGGGAAGGAAGCAGACUGUGAGGAGCAGAGAGACGAAUAUGUGGGUGACCAUUUUCUUUAACGUCCACCCUGGGAUGCUUUUGUGAGUGAAAGGGAGCAGAACAAUUGGAUGGGACAUCAAGACAAGAGGCAUGAACCAGGACUGUUCUGAGUACAGCAAUUAGGGCCAUGGUUACCCUAACAAUCAGUGGUGUGCUGGGGCUGGAUUGGGCCAGCUUGAGAGUUGAUUGCUAAAUAUCCAAGAAUUUGUGAGCUAUUAUUAAGCUGUUUCUAUUAUUAAGCUAUUAUUAAGCUGGAGGUGGGGGACAUCGGGAGAUGCUACACAUGAAGGCAUUUUGUAAAAGCUGAUUUUCCCACACACCACUAAUUACCUCCAGGAGGUGGAUUUUGGGGUCUGAGAUGGAAGUAGGCAUAUGGGCCAGAAGGGAAGGGAAAAGAUCGUUGAAUCUCAGCCACUCUCUCUCCCAUCCUCCAAACCGAAACCGUUUGCAGCUAUCGUUCUGGCCAUGAACCGGGAUGGCUCGAGCGGGGGUGUCAUCUAACUGGUCACCAUUGCAGCUGCCAGUGUGGAUCUUCGAGUAAUCUUGGGCAACGAGCUGCCAAAAUUCUAUGAUGAGUGAAUCUCCUCAGACUUCCCUUCCUUAUUUUGUAAUAAAGAAUCUGAGAACACAACCUGCUCUCGUCAAUGGGAGACAAGUGCUCAGGGAGAGGAAGCCUGGGGAAGGGGCUUCUUGCCUCCCAGAGGUAGCACACCCCUUUUGUUCCUUUGCCACCAUACCAAAAACACCUUUCUCAAAGGAGGGGGUGGGCAUACUAGAAAGAAUCCUAUACAUACUGUGACAUGUAUUGAAUGAUUCUGAAAUACCAGAAAUGAUAAAGUUCUCAUUCUGAACCCCCAAGGGUGAGGUACAAGUGAGGAGUAGGGAGUCAUUCCCUUAAAGCUGGACUGAUAAAUGGGUAGACACCUGAAUGAGCUGAGGGCUCCAAUGAAUGCUCUUGUAAAAGAAUUCCAUUCAUUAAGCAUUUGUUCACACUGGAGAUCAAAGCAUGGCAAAUGCUUAAAUAUUCUGGGAGCACUUGUGAAUUUCAAAGAAUAAUAACAAUAAUCCCAAAAAAGCUACAUUUAUUGAA